Molecule: ribosomal RNA, 442 nt
Filed under: uncultured bacterium
Lineage: Bacteria
Description: partial 16S ribosomal RNA
Rfam family: Bacterial small subunit ribosomal RNA
Source: RNAcentral
CCUACGGGAGACAGCAGUGGGGCAUAUUGCACAAUGGGCGAAAGCCUGAUGCAGCAACGCCGCGUGAAGGAAGAAGGCUUUCGGGUUGUAAACUUCCUUUAAGGGGGAAGUGCAGAAGACGGUAUCCCUUGAAUAAGCCACGGCUAACUACGUGCCAGCAGCCGCGGUAAUACGGAGGUGGCAAGCGUUGUCCGGAUUUACUGGGUGUAAAGGGCGUGCAGCCGGGGAGACAAGUCAGAUGUGAAAUCCACGGGCUCAACCCGUGAACUGCAUUUGAAACUGGUUCCCUUGAGUGUCGGAGAGGUAGUCGGAAUUCGUUGUGUAGCGGUGAAAUGCGUAGAUAUAAGGAAGAACACCAGUGGCGAAGGCAGAUUACUAGACGGUAACUGACGGUGAGGCGCGAAAGCGUGGGGAGCAAACAGGAUUAGAUACCCUUGUAGUC